ACUUCCGCUAGCUCGUUGAAACUA
Molecule: non-coding RNA, 24 nt
Filed under: Gossypium hirsutum (cotton)
Lineage: Eukaryota; Viridiplantae; Streptophyta; Magnoliopsida; Malvales; Malvaceae
Source: RNAcentral